AAAGUUUCAGUGCAUUCCGUUGAUGUAGACGGCGUGAAAACGGAAACAAGUAUGCUGGCUCACUGUGCUGCAUACAAUUACACACUGCGUCCUACGAUUGAGACAAGGAAACUUGGAAUGACUUUUCAUAGGUUUCCCAGAGACUAUGGGCUGAGGAGGAAUUGGAAGUUUGUCGGCUUAGACCUGGUGUCAUUCCAUCAGUGUUAAACUUCCCGGCUCAUCUUGGAAGAGUACGUGCCAGAAAGACCACGACCAAACAGCCUUGAGAUCUUAGGCAGCGUCUCCCUCAGACCAAAGAACUACAGACUCUUCACAACCUGCUCAAACUCUUGGUACAGGACCUCACCACACGGGUCAAGAAGGUUUCCUUCUCAUUUCUACUCUGAAGCUCACCUUCUCCUGCUCAAACUGCUGACAAAUGUUUCUGCUGCUCUAAAGUCUGGUCUCCCGAACUUCCUAAAAACUCUCAAUGGCUCUUCUGCUGCAGGUUGCUUUGUACAACUGUUCCAGAAAACCUCACUAAACCACAUGGAGGGGCCUCAAGAUAGUCGUCCAAAUGAAACCAUACAAAAACCAAACUAGUACAACCCAAACGCUAAAGUCUCCUGCAGCCUACCAGAGAACCUCUUUAAACAGAGAAUCAGGACAGGAACUCUUACCUUCUGGACAAUCAACAUCGGUUCUCAAACAAGAACACAGAAUGUGUCUGACCAGAAACCUCUAAAGACUCACUACAGCCAAGAUAAAGACACAACUCAACUGUACCAAAUCCACUAAUCACUGCACACAUUAGCACCAUGUGCUAACUGUGGCUAAAGAACCACAUUUACCAAGACAACUAUCCAGUACAAAGCCCUAAAACACACCAAGAAACACAUUAAAGACGAUUUUACUGCUGGAAGCUGCAAGCCAACGCCUAAAGAACAAACUAAAGCAAUGGAGCCAAACCCAGUUCACUGGUGAACAGAAGCAGAGGAAAUGUUUGACUGAGCCAAAUAAAGCAGGAAGACACUGAGCUGCUCAGGUGUUCCUGAUAACACCAAGCAGCCACCUGGACAGCCAAUAGGAACACAGCCACCUGGACAGCCAAUAGGAACACAGCUUACUGGAAGUCCAGAGGGCUGGCUUAGUGAAGCAAAUUUAAUUUAAAGUUGAAGCAGAAAGUUAAUAAAGUUGAAAACCACCUUCUGAUACCUGAAAUCUCUGAGUUUUCACACAAAGAACACCUGAACAUGUCAAACUAGUUCCAUAGUAGAACCAUCAUUGUAAAAACGUCAUAGUAUGGUGUGUUGCUCAAAAAACAUUAGGACCCGGCUGUCAGGGGACAAACAUGUAAGAAACAUGAGAACAGAGAGAACCCAACCAGUAGGUCACAGUUUAUCAUCCCCCAGUCAUCUCCUGAAGUCCAUAUGGUGAGAGACAUCAGUAUCUGGUUGUUCAUUUACCAGAGGAUGCUUAUAAUCAUGCUGAUGUGGUCUGUACUCUACAGUAUUUUAGUGACUCAAUAAAUGCCUAAGUUGUUUUUUUUUAAAUGCUUUUUAGUUUUUAAUAAACAUUUAAGAGCCUAUAUGUAAUCAAUAAAUGGCCUUUGCCUAUCUUAAGAAAAAUUCACUCAGAACUCUGAUAUGUUAACAGUACUAAAUAAAUCAAUAAAUACAUGCAUACACACAUAAAUAAGUUAAUACAUUAACUGUGUUAAGAUAAGAUUUAGAUUUUAAAAAAGUUGUUUAUGUUUUUGCAGAAUCCAGUAUUGCUCACUGGUUGGUCAUUACAUUUUAUUAGUUUGAUUUCACUGUUUAAAAUGAUGCCACCUCUUUUCAGACAGAACCUGUGAUAAUAAAACAAUACAAAAUUUUUAGUUCCGUGUUAAUAAAGCACUUAAAGCUUUAAGUAUGGCUAAAUGCUUUUUUCAAAAUUAAAUAUAUCACUCCUUAGGUGGUAGUGGCCCCAAGUUCAGUAAAGUUGGAAAGAUAUUCACAGAUUCGGGCUUCCAGCAUCAAUAACGCAUUAGAUAUAGGUUGUCAAAACAUAAACGGUGCCUCUUUCCCAUUGUUGCAAGGCAGACAAUGUGCUACAAGCCCAGUUUUAUCAAAAGUAGCUGUCUUUCAAGCUACAGGAAUAACAUUGGUGUCUAUGGAGUGAACAGGGUCCGUCUGCAAUUUGCAAAACCACUGCAACAGUAAAGAGAGACAAAUAUUCAAUAACUUCACUCUUAUACAUUGUAGUGUCACUAAAAUCACUGCAGCCUUCAACUGGCUCCUGUUGACAAAGUGUUUUAACAGAAAUGUAAAUGCUGUAAUUUGAUUCUUUUAAUGAACCAUGUAACUUGAAUGGAUGCGAUGCUGGUGUGACCACAGUGCACACGUCUGAUGUUGCUCACAGUGGUCCAAGGGACGCUCAGGGAGUUUGUGUGUUUGCUCAGACUCAUGAAAAAUUACAGGGAACAUUGUUUGGGACUCAAGCAGUUCCUUCUUUUACUCACUAUCUCCCCAGCCUUAGAAAAAAAAACCUGUUCACACGGCACAGAUGAGGCUGAGGUACACAGGAAAUGUUUGGCUCCAUUGUACAAGUUUGGGUAAACGGUUUUGUGGGUUGCCCAGUAAGCCAGUGGGUCUGCCGUUCUUUCUACAAUUGCAUUCGCUGCGGCGCUUUGCAUUUGCCAGGCUCUACUUGCGUCUUCGUCUAAUAGGCUCCACAGUUGAACUGAAAAAUAUUGUAGAUCAUCAUCAUCAUCACCAGAAAUGUCAGUCAUUCCCUAUUCAGAAGAGAAAAAAAAAUAUCUGUGGAAGGUGCUGCUGGUGGUGGAGGACGAGGCUGUGGUGGUGCUUGUGACGUAGAUGACUGCUGCUUGGUAUUCUUUAUGUUAAUUGUUGUGCAUUCUGUUAUUAAACGUUCUUUCACACUGGCUGCCACUCUGAUUGGUGAAUCCAAAAGUUUUGAACUGCAGAGC
Molecule: long non-coding RNA, 2950 nt
Organism: Amphiprion ocellaris (clown anemonefish)
Lineage: Eukaryota; Metazoa; Chordata; Actinopteri; Pomacentridae
Exons: 3
Source: RefSeq, a predicted model, not a curated record